RNAcentral lists this ribosomal RNA (679 nucleotides) under delta proteobacterium FM3-A7. RNAcentral describes it as "bacterial SSU rRNA". It matches the Rfam family "Bacterial small subunit ribosomal RNA", at positions 237 to 908 of the family's 1533-position model. Lineage: Bacteria; Deltaproteobacteria. The record is from RNAcentral.
CUCAUUAGCUAGUUGGUAGGGUAAUGGCCUACCAAGGCAACGAUGAGUAGCUGGUCUGAGAGGAUGAUCAGCCACACUGGAACUGAAACACGGUCCAGACUCCUACGGGAGGCAGCAGUGGGGAAUAUUGCGCAAUGGGCGAAAGCCUGACGCAGCAACGCCGUGUGAGGGAUGAAGGCUUUCGGGUCGUAAACCUCUGUCGGAAGGGAAGAACGGGCAUUGGUCUAAUAGGCCUUUGUUUUGACGGUACCUUUAGAGGAAGCACCGGCUAACUCCGUGCCAGCAGCCGCGGUAAUACGGAGGGUGCAAGCGUUAUUCGGAAUUACUGGGCGUAAAGCGCACGUAGGCGGCCUUGUAAGUCAGGGGUGAAAUCCCACGGCUCAACCGUGGAACUGCCUUUGAAACUGCAGGGCUUGAAUCCUGGAGAGGGUGGCGGAAUUCCUGGUGUAGGAGUGAAAUCCGUAGAUAUCAGGAGGAACACCGGUGGCGAAGGCGGCCACCUGGACAGGCAUUGACGCUGAGGUGCGAAAGUGUGGGGAGCAAACAGGAUUAGAUACCCUGGUAGUCCACACCGUAAACGAUGGAUACUAGGUGUCGGGGACUUGAUCUUCGGUGCCGUAGCUAACGCGUUAAGUAUCCCGCCUGGGGGAGUACGGUCGCAAGGCUGAAACUCAAAGAA